UUCUCAAUGCUGCCCUUGGCCGCCAAGGCUGCGGUUUCUUCGUUCCACCUCGCAGCCCUAGCUUUGUUUUCCUGACAUGCUCGUGGCCACUGGGCCCCACGCCUGCGAGGGGAAUGUGUGCGGGUGCACGGGGGCGGGCGCGCGCGGCGGGCGGGGGCCCUCCUGCCAAGGACACGCCUGGCUGUCUGUCCUCCGGCUGCACUUGGCGGGAAAGCUGGAGGCCGCCAGCGGGGCUGCAAGCUCCCGGCUCUUAUUACCGCCUCCCAGCUCCCCGCAGGCAUCAUUUACAUACGGGCCACUCGUCAGAAUUUUUACAACCCCCCCCUCCCGCCUCCGGUCGCACGCGCGCAGGCUCGAAACAAGCGCCCGCGCGCACAGACCCCGGUGCCCAGGCUGCGGCUGGCCAGGUCGAGCAAACAGGCCCAGGGGUACAAGCAGCCCUCAGCAAAAGGGAUUCUUACACCCUCCCUCUUGUGCCUGCAUCCCUGACAGCCCUCCCAAUCGUGUUUCAGGAAGCCCACCUUCCCCACCAAGCCCCCACCCUUCUCUCACUGCCCACUCCCACUCAAACCCUCCACAUCUCUUUGCCUCUUUCCCUGAAACACACACACACACGCGCGCGCGCGCGCGCUUUUUCUUCCCACUCAGAUAAUCCCUAUGGCGAGUCCCUGGUACCUUCUGAAUAGCUCUGGAAUCUAAAGAAUAAAAAUCCUUAUAAUGUAUUUAUUGUAAUUAGCCAAGCACAUUUAACGAGCACAACAGGAAGAAGGGGAGGAGUGAGGAAGGGGGACUUGAACCAAAAGACCUUUCUUUAAGGAAAAAAAAAAAGUCUGCAAGUCAAAAGGUCAUUCCCCAAGUUUGUAAAUAAAAUAGCAAAAGGAGUCUUAAAAGAGAGGAAAGAAGGAAGGUAGAAAAGAUCCACAAGUUACAUAAAAUGGUGCAUUGGAAAUAUAAGACAGGGCUAUUCUUGAGAGAGAGAAAUCAAGGGGAUAGAAACUGGAGGAAAAAAGAAAAAGAGGGAGAAGAAAAUAAAAGGUAGAAAAGGCAAAAGAAGUUUCCAAAGAAAUGUGUGCUGUGCAUCCUACAAUAGGAAAUGUAGCCAUUGCCCUCCUUCAGACGAGCAUUUCUAAUUUGUUCCGUCUGUCAGGAGGGGACUAUGAGAGGUUUGGGUGCAAAUUCAUUAUCUCUGGCAACGCAGAACGUAGUGUGGGGACUGAAAAAGACCGUGGCAAUGGAUGAACAAUAGGGCUUCAGUUCAUCAGUAACAAAAGCAGUGGGGAAAUUGGUUGAGUUUCAGAGCACGUCCUCCUCGGCAGAGGGGGCUGGACUAGACCUUGGACAGCCCCCCCAAAACUUGCCGAGCCUCGCACACACCACUUCACUCUCCACUCCGAGGCUCAAGGAGCAAGUGCCUGGCGUGGGGGGGAAAAGUUGGCUUUUUUCUUCCUUCGUCUUUUUUGCGCCCUUCUCUCCUUCCCCAGAAGGGAAGGUUCCUUCAAACUAUUUUAGACCCAAUCAAGCAAGAAUCACCGUGUGGAAUUGAGCGGCAGUUCUUAAAUGUGCUAAGGAGAGGGAUGGUCUGAUUUUUUCCUUUAUUUUUAUUUUUAUUUAUUUAUUUUUUUUUUGAGACGCCGAAAGGAGCCUGGUUGUGUAACUGCGGCCGCCCUGUGACUGGAUCUUGUCUUCUGGCCCGCGCUUUUGGAUUUUGGGGCAACACUGCCUCGCUCAGGAGCAGAGCACAAAUGACUACAGAGAAGCAAAAAAUGAAUAGACAACCCCACCAACCAAAGACCGGGGGCAGCAGCACGCCAGCAAGAAGGCAUCUUCUCUUUCCCAGCCUAGAAGCCCUGUGAAAUCGAGGAUCUUCCCCCUAAAACACACACACAAGAUAUUGCAAUCAAGCUGCCACUGCUUGGUAAAAAGCUCAUGGUGCCUAACCAAAAGGAUCAGGAGCAGAUCCUUGAAUCAGCUGUCACUUCUAUAGAAUGGGAUUUUUUUUCCUUCCUCCUUAACCUGCACUGGAAAUUGCCGUUGGCUUCAUACAUCUCCAUAGAGGGAGGCUAAGGAGUCUUGCGUGAGAAUGAAGCAAUUUACAAUGCAAAUAGAGGCUUCUGAAGGGACGGAUACUGCUGCUCACUCAUAACUGCUUGCUGCACCUUAAUAGCUGGUUUUAUUUUCUGAUAUUAAUAGAUGAAUUGUUGGCUAACGCUGCCGGAGAUUACUUGCUGAAAGGGGGAAAAAGUUCGGAAUAAACUUUCAAAGCAACAGAUCUCAUUUGGAUGUUUUAGCGGCACACACAAACAGAAACCAGGUCGUAUUUACAUACAAGGAGGAAUCUUAAGCGCCUGCAAGUGCCCUGGAGGACUACUCUUCGGUACUGCCAGAAAGAUCGUGAUCUGGAUUCAGGCCAGAGGAAGACAGAGGAAUUUGAGGGAAGCGAGUUGUUAUCUUUGGUUAUCUAGCUGUAUGAGUGUAUUGGUCUUCAUAAAGCUAGAUAACCGAAAGUAAAAACUCCUUCAAGAUCGACGGGGAGCAUGUGAGAAUGAAAGACUACAACCAAGAGACAGUAAAAACCAGAAAGGUCAGGAAUACUUAUUGAAUCUAACUUUGUUUUUGGUUUUGUUUUCCUUAUGAUUAAAGGUUGGAUUAGAGGAAAUUAAGUGGCAUACCUAUGCCAAAAAAUAAAGGUGCCAGGUAUUUUGAGAGGGGUUGUUACAAGGGAGAAUUGUAUAGUGCUAAUGAGUUAAGAGGCAUGUGCAGUUCAUCCUACUUAAAAGCAAAAGUUCAAAUAUGAGGGUUUUUUCCCCCUUUCUUAGAAAGCUGUUGUAGAGAUGACUGGUACCUAGUUUUAAAAUGAUUUCAUAUUAUAUACAUGUAGGCUGUUUGUUCUCUUCUGAGACUCCCUCCUCUGAUAAAUUUUAAAUUUUAAGUUUCAUUUGGAAACUGCAUGUAUUUGGGGUAUAUAUCAGAUUAUAGGAAACUGGACUAUCAGAAAAGUUUAUACUGGAAGGUUAAUAUUUUAUAUCUACUGAGGACAUAGUGCUAGUAGAAAAUUCAAAAAAAAUAAAAAGCAGAGGCUGAUUUUUAUUCUUCUAUUCAAAAUACAAGGACAGAUGCUUCUCUGUUCUAAGAGGGUUUCCUUGAGGAAGCUACUGAAGCAGAAAGACAUGAUGGAGACGAGAUCGCCUCCCCUCUUGUCAAAGUGUUAAAAAAAUGUUCUGUCUUACUCUGGGCCUAGCAUUGGAAAUGAAAGUGACAUUUACGCCACAACCCACGUGUGCGCCUCCUCUCUUUUUGUUUAAGGAUGAUCAGGUCUAUCCAGGAAACAGCUCUGGCAUCCCAAACUGAAAUAAUUAGGACGUAUAGACCUGACAAAAAUGGAAAGGGGGUGGGGAAUCUGAGGGUCUGUCUUGCCUAAUUGAUUCCGCUAAACGGAAUGCAGGAGAUGUGAACGGCAGGACGCUCUGAUUCCCACGCUCGGGGGCAAGUGGUAAAGCGGGCGGGCAGCCUAUGACAGACAGCCCUGUUGGGGGGGGGGUAUGAAAAAAACAUCAAGUACUCACCGUACUCAUCUCCAUCGCUUAAGAAAGUAGAGGCAUUUCCCACCCACAGCCAUCUGCAGCCUCCCAAAUGGGAGCAGCGACUGGUCUGUAGCUGCUGCAUGCUGUCUGUUUCUGUUAAUUUUAUAACCACUGUGUAAUCUGGCCAUAAUUAAGUUUGGCUCCCUUCUUUGGUUGAGAUUUUCAAUAUUUAAGGAAAGCUAGUAGAAAGCAGUUCAAAGAAAGUACCAUUGCUGCCUGCCCCUUAUGUCAGAUUCUCAGCCCAUACUUUCGGCUUUGUGAUCACCUUUUGGCUGUUAUUUUGGGUGAGUAAUAUUUAAAAAUACAUAUCUCUAUAUAACAGACAUUAUCAUCUCUUCAUCUAAGUGCUUACCUCUUACAUAAUAAUUAUAGAAAUUUAGCCUAAUUAUGCUAGUUGACACACUGGAAGUAAAACUAUAAAAUCAUCAACCUGUAUAAUAUGAUAAAAGGUUGUUUUGGUGUAGUCUCAGCUAGAAACACUCUAAACAGACAUCUUUAUUUAAUCUAAAAGUGACUGCUUAGCCAAAACUUUGACUCUUUGAAGGCCCCUAUAGUAAUCUUUUUGUAAAUGUCUUCACAUUUGCCCACAUGUCACCAAGCAAACAUCUGUAUGGGCAUUUAAACAUAAAAACAAACAUUGCAAUAAGAAAAUGCCCAAAAUCCACAUGGCCUAGAUGGUUGACAAUCCCACUCCCAACUAUGCAACUCUUCUUCCAAAGCAUUACACUGUCCUUUGUAGCUUCAUCUUCUUUUAGGACUUCAGUCUGGAGAAGCCUUGUAAAGCCCCUGAUAGUUUCAGUUAGAAACUCUCAGAGACUUUGUUAACGUAAAUUCUCAAUUCAGCUGAGGAACACGUGCCAAAGUUUUACUACUGUAGUGACCGUUGAGAAGACCCUUGUUUAUUUACAUAUGAAGCACUGUUUGUGCAAACAACCUUUCAUUGUUAAGUGCCUGUAUUCCUUUCAUUUACUUCAUGUCCAGGGGUGCUAUUUACCUAGACCCAUUGUCUACUACAAUUAACAUUUACAUUACAAAGUGUGUGGUUUUCUUUCUCAAGGAGGUUCAAUUAAGGCAAUAAGAUGUUUGCUGGGGAAACCUAUUGUUUACUGAAAGCACUCAAUGGAGUCAAAUUACUGAAGCUUUUGCCUACAUCUUGGUCUUUUAUGUAAAUAUGUUAACUAUAACAUAUAAGUAAAAUAAACAGUAUUAUAAUUCUGUGUUUACCAUUGUCAUAUCAAACUUGCUUUGUAUCAUACUAAUGUUACAUGACUUAUCAAUCAAUAAAAAUGCAUUUCAAUGUUA
Phyllostomus discolor (pale spear-nosed bat) is the source of this 4883-nucleotide long non-coding RNA. RefSeq lists it as uncharacterized. Lineage: Eukaryota; Metazoa; Chordata; Mammalia; Chiroptera; Phyllostomidae. The transcript is spliced from 3 exons. The record is from RefSeq and is a predicted model, not a curated record.